Molecule: ribosomal RNA, 497 nt
Filed under: uncultured bacterium
Lineage: Bacteria
Description: partial 16S ribosomal RNA
Rfam family: Bacterial small subunit ribosomal RNA
Source: RNAcentral
GAUGAACGCUGGCGGCGUGCCUAAUACAUGCAAGUCGAGCGAACAGACGAGGAGCUUGCUCCUCUCACGUUAGCCGCGGGCGUGUGAGUAACACGUGUAUACCCUCCCUAUCAGACGGGGAUCACUUCGGGAAACCGGCGCUAAUCCGGUAGGAUAUAUUGAACCGCAUGGUUCAAUAGUAAAAGACGGUUUUGCUGUCACUUCUAGAUGGUUACGGGCCGCAUUAGCUAGUUGUUAAGGUAACGGCUUACUAAGGCAACGAUGCGUAGCCGAGCUGAGAGGGGGAUCGGCGACAUUGGAACGGAGACAGGGUCAAGAGGACUACGGGAGGCAGCAGUAGGGAAUCGUCGGCAAUGGGCGAAAGCCUGACGGAGCAACGGCGCGUGAGUGAUGAAGGUGUUCGGAGCGUAAAACUCGGUUAUGAGGUAAGAACAGAUGUGUAAGUAACUAUACACGUCUUGACGGUACCGAAUCAGAAAGCCACGGCUAACUACGUG